AAUAUUGCGCAAUGGAGAGAACUCUGACGCAGCGACGCCGCGUGAGCGAUGAACGUCUUAGGAUCGUAAAGCUCUGUCCUUGGAGAAAAGGGGCGUCGGACUUGACGGAACCUAAGGAGGAAGCUCCGGCUAACUACGUGCCAGCAGCCGCGGUAAUACGUAGGGGGCAAGCGUUGUCCGGAAUUAUUGGGCGGAAAGGGUGCGUAGGCGGCCUUUUAAGUCAGAUGUGAAAGCCCACGGCUUAACCGUGGGACUGCAUUUGAAACUGGAGGGCUUGAGUAUCGGAGAGGGUAGUGGAAUUCCCAGUGUAGCGGUGGAAUGCGUAGAUAUUGGGAGGAACACCAGUGGCGAAGGCGACUACCUGGACGAAAACUGACGCUGGGGCACGAAAGCUAGGGGAGCAAACA
This 407-nucleotide ribosomal RNA is filed under the name uncultured bacterium. Its description in RNAcentral is "partial 16S ribosomal RNA". It matches the Rfam family "Bacterial small subunit ribosomal RNA", at positions 360 to 774 of the family's 1533-position model. The record is from RNAcentral.